UACCCCGUGGUGUAAUCGGUAACACUGCAGGUUUUGAUCCUGCCAUUCUAGGUUCAAGUCCUAGCGGGGUAGC
This 73-nucleotide transfer RNA is filed under the name Adhaeretor mobilis. RNAcentral describes it as "Planctomycetes bacterium HG15A2 tRNA-Gln". It matches the Rfam family "tRNA". Rfam says of the family: Transfer RNA (tRNA) molecules are approximately 80 nucleotides in length. Lineage: Bacteria; Pseudomonadati; Planctomycetota; Planctomycetia; Pirellulales; Lacipirellulaceae. The record is from RNAcentral.